RNAcentral lists this long non-coding RNA (1169 nucleotides) under Heterocephalus glaber (naked mole-rat). RNAcentral describes it as "lncRNA (ENSHGLG00100035747.1)". Lineage: Eukaryota; Metazoa; Chordata; Mammalia; Rodentia; Bathyergidae. The record is from RNAcentral.
GCCAGGUGAACAGGGUAGAGUGAAGACAGAAGAAGCCUGCUUUAUAAAGUGCCAAGUUCCAAAGAAUUCCAGAAAGGCUGCUAUUGACAAGGGAGGGGACUCUCUUUUCUUCGGAUUUUAAACUUCUAAUGCAAUGGCAGAAUGCAAGAAAUGAGGACCUAAGCUGAGAUGCUUAAAUUUAGAACACUGGGAUCGAACAAAUGCCACAAAGGAUGACCUUUCAGAAAACCUGAUGAAACCAGUUUUUACUGGAAGGGAAGCAAACCUUAAAUGCUAACGAAGCUGGUGAUUUAUGAUGCAAUUUUUUAUUGGAGAACUAACAAUAAACAGGAAGUCAUCGAAGGAUGCUGCAACAGUAUGGUCUCAUGCAACCCAAAUAAUUCUGUCACAGCACAAGGACCACCAUGCAUGGAUUGGAACAGAAGUUUUCCUCUAAUUUCCUUCAAGAACAAACCUGCCUCUGGCUGCACUUAGAUGACAACUACCAGUUGCAGGGCCUGUAAAAUCUGCUGGAGCAUUUCCCCAAACACCACCCUCUCCAUGGGAAGUGCUCUCCAAUAAAUGACCAUGGUCCCAGCAAACAGGUCAUUUCUGCCCAAUGCAGGACUCCUGUGAGGGCAGUCUUUGCACUGGGGCUCCCCAUUAGGCUCCCUGAGGAUCACUACAGCUCCAGCACAAUGUGGGCCUACUCUUACUGAGUACUUCCUGCCCUAUCUUCAUUCCUAGCCCUCAAAACAGACUGUCACUGAUGAUAUAAAAAAAACUGUUCACAGAAGUAAUGGCAGAAAACUUCCUGAAGAGGGGAAAAGAACUUGAUAUAGCGAUAAGUGAGGAAUAUAGGACUCCAACUGGCCAUGAUCAAAAAAAUCUACACAUAGGCAUAUAAUAGUUAGGACUCCAGAAACCCAACAGAAGAACAAAAUUCUAUGAGCAGUGAGACAGAAAAAACAAACCACAUACAAUGGAAAGCCCAUCAGAAUCACAGCAGACUUCUCAACACAAACCCACAAGGCAAGAAGAGCAUGGAGCAAUGUAUUUCAAGCCUUAAAGGAAAACACCUUCCAACCCAGAUUGAUGCACCCCGCAAAACUAUUUUUCAAAAUUGAUGGAGAAAUAGGAUACUUUCAUGACAAAGAGCACCUUAGGAACUUCAUGAAUACCAAACCAGC